Molecule: ribosomal RNA, 491 nt
Filed under: alpha proteobacterium CI4_4
Lineage: Bacteria; Pseudomonadati; Pseudomonadota; Alphaproteobacteria
Description: bacterial SSU rRNA
Rfam family: Bacterial small subunit ribosomal RNA
Source: RNAcentral
GACCAAAGAUUUAUCGCCCAGGGAUGAGCCCGCGUAGGAUUAGCUAGUUGGUGGGGUAAUGGCCUACCAAGGCGACGAUCCUUAGCUGGUCUGAGAGGAUGAUCAGCCACACUGGGACUGAGACACGGCCCAGACUCCUACGGGAGGCAGCAGUGGGGAAUAUUGGACAAUGGGCGAAAGCCUGAUCCAGCAAUGCCGCGUGAGUGAUGAAGGCCUUAGGGUUGUAAAGCUCUUUUACCCGGGAUGAUAAUGACAGUACCGGGAGAAUAAGCUCCGGCUAACUCCGUGCCAGCAGCCGCGGUAAUACGGAGGGAGCUAGCGUUGUUCGGAAUUACUGGGCGUAAAGCGCGCGUAGGCGGCUGCUCAAGUCAGAGGUGAAAGCCCGGGGCUCAACCCCGGAACUGCCUUUGAAACUAGGUAGCUAGAAUCUUGGAGAGGUCAGUGGAAUUCCGAGUGUAGAGGUGAAAUUCGUAGAUAUUCGGAAGAACACC